AAUUUUGGACAAUGGGCGCAAGCCUGAUCCAGCAAUGCCGCGUGAGUGAAGAAGGCCUUCGGGUUGUAAAGCUCUUUUGUCAGGGGAGAAACGGCCGAGGCUAAUACCUUUGGCUAAUGACGGUACCUGAAGAAUAAGCACCGGCUAACUACGUGCCAGCAGCCGCGGUAAUACGUAGGGUGCAAGCGUUAAUCGGAAUUACUGGGCGUAAAGCGUGCGCAGGCGGUUUUGUAAGUCUGACGUGAAAUCCCCGGGCUCAACCUGGGAAUUGCGUUGGAGACUGCAAGGCUGGAGUCUGGCAGAGGGGGGUAGAAUUCCACGUGUAGCAGUGAAAUGCGUAGAGAUGUGGAGGAACACCGAUGGCGAAGGCAGCCCCCUGGGUCAAGACUGACGCUCAUGCACGAAAGCGUGGGGAGCAAACAGGAUUAGAUACCCUGGUAGUCCACGCCCUAAACGAUGUCUACUAGUUGUCGGGUCUUAAUUGACUUGGUAACGCAGCUAACGCGUGAAGUAGACCGCCUGGGGAGUACGGUCGCAAGAUUAAAACUCAAAGGAAUUGACGGAA
RNAcentral lists this ribosomal RNA (565 nucleotides) under uncultured bacterium. RNAcentral describes it as "bacterial SSU rRNA". It matches the Rfam family "Bacterial small subunit ribosomal RNA", at positions 360 to 918 of the family's 1533-position model. The record is from RNAcentral.